ACGGGAGUAGCAAUACUCCAGUGGCGGACGGGUGAGUAACGCGUGAGAAUCUACCUUCUGGUCGGGGACAACCACUGGAAACGGUGGCUAAUACCGGAUAUGCCGCAACGUGAAAGAUUUAUCGCCAGAAGAGGAGCUCGCGUCUGAUUAGCUAGUUGGUAGGGUAAAGGCCUACCAAGGCAUCGAUCAGUAGCUGGUCUGAGAGGACGAUCAGCCACACUGGGACUGAGACACGGCCCAGACUCCUACGGGAGGCAGCAGUGGGGAAUUUUCCGCAAUGGGCGAAAGCCUGACGGAGCAAGACCGCGUGAGGGAAGAAGGCUCUUGGGUCGUAAACCUCUUUUGUUAGGGAAGAACACAAUGACGGUACCUAACGAAUCAGCCUCGGCUAACUCCGUGCCAGCAGCCGCGGUAAUACGGAGGAGGCAAGCGUUAUCCGGAAUUAUUGGGCGUAAAGCGUCCGCAGGUGGCGAUUCAAGUCUGCGGUCAAAGACUGGGGCUUAACCCUGGAAAGGCCGUGGAAACUGAAGAGCUAGAGUGCAGUAGGGGUAGAGGGAAUUCCCGGUGUAGCGGUGAAAUGCGUAGAGCUCGGGAAGAACAUCGGUGGCGAAAGCGCUCUGCUGGACUGCAACUGACACUCAGGGACGAAAGCUAGGGGAGCGAAUGGGAUUAGAUAC
Molecule: ribosomal RNA, 677 nt
Filed under: uncultured cyanobacterium
Lineage: Bacteria; Bacillati; Cyanobacteriota
Description: bacterial SSU rRNA
Rfam family: Bacterial small subunit ribosomal RNA
Source: RNAcentral